AGUGAACGCUGGCGGUAGGCCUAACACAUGCAAGUCGAACGGCAGCACAGUAAGAGCUUGCUCUUACGGGUGGCGAGUGGCGGACGGGUGAGGAAUACAUCGGAAUCUACUUUUUCGUGGGGGAUAACGUAGGGAAACUUACGCUAAUACCGCAUACGACCUACGGGUGAAAGCAGGGGAUCUUCGGACCUUGCGCGAUUGAAUGAGCCGAUGUCGGAUUAGCUAGUUGGCGGGGUAAAGGCCCACCAAGGCGACGAUCCGUAGCUGGUCUGAGAGGAUGAUCAGCCACACUGGAACUGAGACACGGUCCAGACUCCUACGGGAGGCAGCAGUGGGGAAUAUUGGACAAUGGGCGCAAGCCUGAUCCAGCCAGACCGCGUGUGUGAAGAAGGCGUUCGGGUUGUAAAGACCUUUUGUUGGGAAAGAAAAGCAGCAGGUUAAUACCCCGCUGUUCUGACGGUACCCAAAGAAUAAGCACCGGCUAACUUCGUG
RNAcentral lists this ribosomal RNA (492 nucleotides) under uncultured bacterium. Its description in RNAcentral is "partial 16S ribosomal RNA". It matches the Rfam family "Bacterial small subunit ribosomal RNA", at positions 29 to 507 of the family's 1533-position model. The record is from RNAcentral.